Biomphalaria glabrata is the source of this 387-nucleotide long non-coding RNA. RefSeq lists it as uncharacterized. The transcript is spliced from 3 exons. Lineage: Eukaryota; Metazoa; Mollusca; Gastropoda; Planorbidae. The record is from RefSeq and is a predicted model, not a curated record.
UGGAGCAGAGAAGACGCAUUUUUUCAUUGUUAUUCUCGGACAAAGUAGAUUACAGCGACACGAGUUUCCAUUGCGUUUGACAUUAUUUGCUAUGACACGCGUAUUGGAAAUACAUUUGGAUUUCAGACCCUAAAAGGGGCGGCCUACAUUAAAUAGUUUCCUGAAGUUGACCAAGGAGAUUUCUAAUUGUGAAUGAUUGCCACGAGUGUGAGUCAUUAGACGACUUCUCUAUUCAAUCCAGUGCUAACAAGACCGUAACUUCAUGGCCGUUAACCUUGUAGAAGGAAGAGCUAUAAAGUUAUGGACACCAGUCGAGUCAAGGAAUGUGUUCAUGAUAGAGAUUUAAAUAUUCAAGAGAUGAAUGAAGCAGCUCAUACCUAUUUAAAA